GAUGAACGCUGGCGGCGUGCCUAAUACAUGCAAGUCGAGCGAAAAGAUAAGGAGAUUGCUCCUUUGACGUUAGCGGCGGACGGGUGAGUAAAAAGUGGGUAACAUACCUAUUAGACUGGGAUAACUACGGGAAAACGGGGACACUGCCAGCGAACAUUUCGAACCGCAUGGAUCUAAAGAGCAAGGUGGUUUUUCUAUCACUUAUAGCUGGAGCCGCGCCGUCUUAGCUAGUUGGGGAGGUAACGGCCUACCAAGGCAACGAUCCGUAGCCGACCUGAGAGGGUGAUCGGCCACACUGGAACUGAGACACGGUCCAGACUCCUACGGGAGGCAGCAGUAGGGAAUCUUCCGCAAUGGGCGAAAGCCUGACGGAGCAACGCCGCGUGGGUGAUGAAGGUCUUCGGAUCGUAAAACUCUUUUAUUAGGGAAGAACAAAUGUAUAAUUAACUGUGCACGUCUUGACGGUACCUAAUCAGAAAGCCACGGCUAACUACGUG
RNAcentral lists this ribosomal RNA (497 nucleotides) under uncultured bacterium. RNAcentral's name for it is "partial 16S ribosomal RNA". It matches the Rfam family "Bacterial small subunit ribosomal RNA", at positions 28 to 507 of the family's 1533-position model. The record is from RNAcentral.